This is a non-coding RNA of Chelonoidis abingdonii (Abingdon island giant tortoise), 3472 nucleotides long. NCBI's taxonomy places the organism in Eukaryota, Metazoa, Chordata, Testudines, Testudinidae. The record is from RefSeq and is a predicted model, not a curated record.
GGCUCGCGCGGCAGCGGCCGUUUGAAUGCUGGGCGGGGCGGCCUGGUUGGGAGGCGCGUUGCUGACUGAGGUCCAGGGAGCGCAGGGAAAGAUACCAGCUGUCAUCUCCACCCUUGAAUCAAUCAUAAACAUCAUGCUACUGCAGCCUGUGGCUGCAGUAAACACUGUAGAAGAGCAGAGGGCCCGCUGGGAGAGGAAACGUAGCCGGACAGCCAAGGAACUGGUGGAAACAGAGCAGAAAUACCUAGAGCAGCUGGACUUGGUUACCACAUAUUUUGUGACAAUUCUGAAGGCCAAAGGGACACUGCAGCCAGCUGUGCGGGAAGGCAUCUUCGGGCUCCUGGAAUCCAUAUAUUGCACCAGCCAGAUUCUGCUGCUUCACUUGGAGAGAGGGCACUUGGGGCUAGGAUUGGAGGGUUUCUGUCAGAAGCUGGAGCUCUAUGGCCACUAUGCUGAAAACUUGGAGCAAGCUAAGAAAACCCUGCAGGAGCAGGUGAAGAAGAAUAAGGCAUUUUGCCGGUUUAAGAAGCUUCAAGAGUCUCGACCUGAGUUCCUGGGAUGGCAGUUGGAGGAUCUGCUCCCUCUGCCACUGCAGAGGCUCCAUCAAUACAAGCACUUGUUCAGAGACCUGAUGGAGAACACCAGCCCGGAUAGUGUGGAGUUCCAGUACCUUGCAAAAGCUGUGAAAUCUGUUUCUGACGUGUCUCAGUGGGUCCACAGCACAAUUCGCAGCCAUGAGAACUCAAUGCAACUGCUUCGGGUCCAGAAACUUCUCAAAGGACAGAAGACCAAGGUGCUGACUCCAGAGCGCUGGUAUAUCCAAGAAGGCUGGCUCAUGGUGGUGCCCACAAAGGGUGAAGAAGUGAAGCGUAAGAUGUUCUUCCUCUUCUCCGAUAUCUUGGUUGCGACGAAGCCCUGCCACCCACUGCAUCCUCUGAAUUCAGACAAGUUUUCUUGCCAGGCAAUCUAUCCACUUAGCCAGUGCACAGUGGACAAAGUGUUUGGCCAUACCCAGAGCCAAGGAGGGCUGCUCAGUGUAAGUUUCUCUCAGUUUCUGGCUGCAGCUCCUACAGCCCUCAUUUCCACCCCCACCCACAAAUACAUCCUGAUCUAAAAUAGAAUUAAUGUGAGAGAGGAUAGUGGGUGUAACUGACCCCUGUGGUUGAGGCAGUGAUGGGGAGAGCUAAGGUGAGUCUCUUAAUUGUUGCAGGAGCAGCAGACUAGAGAGGCUAGAUUGUACUAGGGAGGCUUCACUGCAGGUGGAAGAGUGAGGGAGUGAAGAGCCCACAUCACCUCUGUGGGAGGCACAGUUCCUCUCUGACCUCCCUGGUGUGCAGCUUGCUCCCACUACUGUACUUGGUUUGCUCAGGGUAGGGGCAUGGCCCCUUGCCCUCUUAGGAGUGCACAGAGGAAGCAGUGCCUGGGCUCUGCUCAUUGUGCUGUCCCUGUGCAUCCACAAAGAGGCUACUUCCAAACUGGCCCCAAGGCAGCAUGGAAAGUAAAAAGCAACAGAGUGGUCACUAGGGCUUUGGCUCAUCUGAAAUCGUGCCAGAUAACAUGUGGAGAGAUUCUUUGGAACUGUUGCCAAGGGUGGAGCUUGUCCUCCUGGCUGCUUUUUCUUUCUCCCCCAUGUCUUUUCAGUGAAGGAUCUGCCUUUUGGCUGCAAGGACUUCUCCUGUUAGGGGUUAUAAUACCUUGGGUAGAGGCAUCCCAGAGGUCAUUUGAAGUGCCUACAGUUAGAAAAAUGUCUCCCGACUUGUCCCAAUAAUGCUAAAACAAAUUGCUCUAUUUACAUUUAAACUAAGACCCCAUGCUGCCAUUUAUAGUUACUUCUGAGAAGAGAGCCACAUUAAAAUGCAGUACAGGGAGUGAGGUCUCCUGGGCCCUACUGGAUUCACCACAGACUUGCUCUGUGAUCUCUUGAGCAAUAGGCUUCCUUUCUGGGCUAGUUUCUCAAUCUAUAAGGUAAAUCUGUAAAUGAAGACGCCCCUAUGCUGAGAGGAGAGCUUUUCCUGUCAGUAUAGUUAGCUACCACUUCUUGGGGAGGUGAAUUAUGUCAGUCGGAGAAACUCUCCUGUUGAUAUAGCGCUGUAACAGCAGGGAUUGCUCCGUAAGGGCUGGAAGGCCUGGGGCUAGCCAGCCCUUAUUAGUACAGAGGCACACCUGGAUUAGAUCAGUUAAUCCCUUAUAUAAAGUACAAUAGUGGCUGCAGUGAAGUGUGAAGCUCAAUAAAUUGAAAGAAGAAAGAGGCUUCUACAGAGAAGACCUUGACACCAGGAGGUUUGGAACCCGAGCUAGAAACCUGAGGCUCAAGACACAUAGGGCCUGCAUGUGGCCUGCCAAUAUAGGAAAGGCCCCAGGCAGGUAGGCCUGGGCACAGGGUAAAUUGGAGCCUGCUGAGAGUGAGUAGGCUCUAGCCAAAAGAUCUGGGAUGUAGGAUUUCCCUGCUGAGACUAGAGCCAGGAAAAGCCUGGGGACCCAACAAGAAGGUAAAACCAGUGGAGCGUUUUAGAACUUGCAGGGGAGUUUUUGAACUUUAUUAUGUGAACAAACUUGGACACAUGCCCCCAGAAGGGGUGAUGAAUGGACAAAAAAAGCCUAUGUGGAGUUCAAGAAACCAUUUGAGGGGGAAUCUGAGACAGGCUGCCCGUAGUGUAUCCCCAAGGCCAUGACGGCGCACAUGCUAUGCAGCUACCCGCAUUACAAGGGAUUAUAUUUAAGCAGUGACUGCAAUCUGUAUAAAACACCAUUGUGAAAACCCCAGCUCUAUGGAGAGCUCUGUGGCAAAGGCAGGCAAGAUGGGACAUGGUGGGAAGACCAGAAGGAAUACCUUUAAAGAGAGUUUAUUUUGGAUCACUCCUUACGAGCUGUAUGGGGGAAGUAGAGUCUGACCGCAACUUGAACUUGGGGUGAGUAGUGGAUUGGAUAACAAGGAUGCCCAAUUCAGUGGGGCAGCGUGGACUAAGGGACAGAUACUGGAGUAUGAACAGAGUAUCAAGGGUGGCAUUGACUUACUACCUCCAUAGGGUGCUGGGAGGAAUAUUUAAUUGCGUGAAGUAUUUUGAGAUCAUCAGCUGGAACGGAACAGAGUAGGGCAGGUCUGCUUCUGUGCCAGUAGAGGCUCGAGCUGGACAGCCCUGUUGCUUUUCUAUUGCAAAAGGAAGAUUACAGAAAUGUGUAGGAUGAGAUGAGGUGCUGGUUGUUUCUGUGGCAGGGCUGCUGUCUGGGGAAAAGGAAAUGUUAAAGAUGGGUGUUGGACUCAACACCUUUCUCCUUCUGUUCUGUUCCUUCCCCGUGAAACAUCUGGCCCUGGCUGCUGCUGCUGGAAGACAGACUAGAGGGAUCAUUGGUCUGACCAAGUGUAGCUAUUGUGUUCUCUUCUUUCAGCUCUCCUUUCCCCACAAGACACUGCUGCUGAUGUCGAGCAACCAGGAGGAUAUUAACAACUGGUAUCUGAAUCUGACAACUGCUA